AGGCACCAGAAUCUUAGAAGAUCAGCUCUGGACCCCAUAUACCGGAGUGAGAAGUAAAACGCCACUGGGACAAUGAUUGCAUAGCCAUAGAUUAAAGAUGCUGCCAAGUUUAUAUAGUUCACAUCAAAGACCCAAGGUGCUUCACUGUUGGUUCGUUUCUUCACGAGGUACGUGGCACAGUUUCCGAGAGAGGAAAGCACAAACACAAGCGUGGUGCAGAUCCAGACAAGGCCAUACCUAACAGAGAGAGGCGAAACCCACACAGACAAGUCAUUUAUCUGGAAACUUGUUCAAGACCAAGGAUAACAUGUUUCCUAUGUUGCAGACUAUGAAAUAGAUAGAAGCUUAAAUAUAAUGUGAGGAACUGUUUUAACAAGCUACAGCUAACAAGCUAUAGCAUAUGAAAACUGGAUCUGGAUGCAGGCGUAAGUCUAUAGUACCUAAGCUCAGAUGGAAUAUUCAAGCAGCAAAGGUAUAAUACCACAAACCUAUGACAUAUCAAUUUUACUAGUGAGAAAUUUAAUGUUCUAUCGGAAAAGAUAACAGUUAACAUGGUAACAAAACAACAGGCUGAAGAAAUAGUGGAGUUAUUAAGGAAAUCUCAUUGGAAGAUGCCAAAGAAUUCUAUAUCAGAGCAAUCACUGAGAAGAGUCACAGAAGAAAGGGUAUUGAAAGACUUACAAAUCAGGGUUGGCAUCAAUCUUGCUGAAAAAAUCACCACUGGUGGGGUACAAGGAACUCAUCAGUCUGUUCAAAACAACGUCCGUGUCCACGUUGAAGUACUGGGCGUAUGAGUAGACGUUAAAGUAUCCCUUCCAGUUGUUUGAUGGCUGCUGUUCAGGUCCUUCUACAAGACAGAACAAAGUACUUUUAUCUAGGAUCUGGACUCAGAUAAGCAUUCUUUCAACCAUGAUGAAAAGUUAGACGUUACUUCGAAUACAAAACAAGCACUUACUACAAUUACUUGAUUCAUAGAGACUACUGUCUACUGAUAAACAUGUCUUUAAGAAGAAAAAAAAAAGCCAAAAGGAGCAUAUAUAAUACCUGUUGGGCUCUCAAGAGUUUGAUAACCCUUUGCUCCAUUGUUUCCUUGAUGUGGUGGAAAUAUCUGCAUGUUUGCAGAAGGACCUGCAGAGCAAUAAACACACAACAUUCAAAAACUCUUUCCUUACAAUACUGAAAAAGCUAGCUUCUAGCAAAAGAACAUACCUUCGUUUACGCUUGCUAUAUGCACAUUCGUGCUUUUCUUGUCUUCAUCGCUGAUCACAGCCUUCAAAGUACAUAUGUUUUAUUUUUGUAUUAGAAAGAAUGAAAGUGAAUAUCUCAAUCCAAUCAUGGAAGCAUUUAAAACCCAAAAGACAACAACUUCUCAUAAAAGGAAAGUCCUUUAUCCUAAUCAGACACAAACCCAUUUGGAAGAUUCUAAAAAUUGGUGGAAUCGGAGAAGCAAAGGAUGUGUGUUUGCUAGACUUACGGGAACUGAACCGAGCAAAUGGCUCGUCUGUAGAUUAGAGAACGACUCAUCCAUCGAAGAUUAGUUGAUCGAAAGGGAGAUUCUUUAUCUCAUCCACUAAAACGAUAAGAUCGGAAGAUCAGCUCUGGACCCCAUAUACCGGAGUGAGAAGUAAAACGCCACUGGGACAAUGAUUGCAUAGCCAUAGAUUAAAGAUGCUGCCAAGUUUAUAUAGUUCACAUCAAAGACCCAAGGUGCUUCACUGUUGGUUCGUUUCUUCACGAGGUACGUGGCACAGUUUCCGAGAGAGGAAAGCACAAACACAAGCGUGGUGCAGAUCCAGACAAGGCCAU
This 1806-nucleotide long non-coding RNA is filed under the name Brassica napus (rape). Its description in RNAcentral is "long non-coding RNA (BNAP_LNC002294)". The record is from RNAcentral. Lineage: Eukaryota; Viridiplantae; Streptophyta; Magnoliopsida; Brassicales; Brassicaceae.